GAUGAACGCUGGCGGCGUGCUUAACACAUGCAAGUCGAACGAUGAAGCCCAGCUUGCUGGGUGGAUUAGUGGCGAACGGGUGAGUAACACGUGAGUAACCUGCCCUUAACUCUGGGAUAAGCCUGGGAAACUGGGUCUAAUACCGGAUAGGAGCGCCUACCGCAUGGUGGGUGUUGGAAAGAUUUAUCGGUUUUGGAUGGACUCGCGGCCUAUCAGCUUGUUGGUGAGGUAAUGGCUCACCAAGGCGACGACGGGUAGCGGGCCUGAGAGGGUGACCGGCCACACCGGGACUGAGACACGGCCCAGACUCCUACGGGAGGCAGCAGUGGGGAAGAGUGCACAAUGGGAGAAAGCCUGAUGCAGCGACGCCGCGUGAGGGAUGACGGCCUUCGGGUUGUAAACCUCUGUCAGUAGGGAAGAAGCGAAAGUGACGGUACCUGCAGAAGAAGCACCGGCUAACUACGUG
Molecule: ribosomal RNA, 466 nt
Filed under: uncultured bacterium
Lineage: Bacteria
Description: partial 16S ribosomal RNA
Rfam family: Bacterial small subunit ribosomal RNA
Source: RNAcentral